GCUUCUGCAUGCACAUACAGAAAAAUGAAAGGGCCACCAAAAGGCAUCUCUCUGGACCUUUCACCAGCUUGAGGAGACACUUCAGACCUCAAGUCUGAGUGGACGAUCCAGAGAAGCAGCUGCUUCUCUACAUUUAGGAUGAAGAGGAAGAUUUCCUUCACUGGCUGAGGCAGUAGCGCUUCUGCUGAUGGCUGCAGAGAUGACCUCAAGUCUCCAAACUGGUCUGGACAUCGCUGGCCAAAGGAACCUGAGAAAUGGAGUGACAAGAUCUGGAAGUGAGGAAGCUAAGAUGGACUGAAAGUCUUUUGGAUGCUCUUGGCACCGAGUAGUAAUACAGGCUUUUGGAGUUGAGACUACUGAGGUGAAGACUGUGUCAAAGAGGUCAUAAAUAAAGCCACUGCUUUGGAUAAUUAAUAUAUAGUGCUAUGAUACUUUUCAGGUUGAGACUAUUAAUUUUUGAUAAAAUGCUAUGUAUAUUCAUACAGGAACUCAUUUAGAAAAUGGCUUUCAUAUAAACAUUUGAGGAACACCUUAUUUUCCUUCUCAGCUUUAAUUGAAUAAUUUUAAUACAAGCAAAUUAAGUAAAAUAAGGUCUAGGCUUCUUUGCAAAGCAAUAGUUCACUAAGUUUAGCUAGAUGUAUGCUUAAUGAAAAACCUUAAUUUUUUUCAUAGGUGGAGAAACUGAGACAAUAGUUGUUUAUGAAAUAAUUCAGACUACAUAUUUAGAUUUCCCAGCCACUUCUGAAUGUAUUAGUAAGUUAGCUGGCAUCAAGUCUCAACCAUGAGCAAUGAAAGAAAAUGAUGCCCCAAAGACUAACAAUUUUUUUUUCCAGGCCUAAAGAUAAGGACCAAGGCUUAUAUUUUUAUAAUGAGAAUAAAAA
This 881-nucleotide long non-coding RNA is filed under the name Zalophus californianus (California sea lion). Its description in RNAcentral is "lncRNA (ENSZCAG00015017631.1)". Lineage: Eukaryota; Metazoa; Chordata; Mammalia; Carnivora; Otariidae. The record is from RNAcentral.